CAGUCGCCGCGGUAAUACGUAGGUGGCAAGCGUUGUCCGGAAUUAUUGGGCGUAAAGGGCCCGCAGGCGGUUUCUUAAGUCUGAUGUGAAAGCCCCCGGCUCAACCGGGGAGGGUCAUUGGAAACUGGGAAACUUGAGUGCAGAAGAGGAGAGUGGAAUUCCACGUGUAGCGGUGAAAUGCGUAGAGAUGUGGAGGAACACCAGUGGCGAAGGCGACUCUCUGGUCUGUAACUGACGCUGAGGAGCGAAAGCGUGGGGAGCGAACAGGAUUAGAUACCCCCGUAGUCCCUGUCUCUUAUAC
RNAcentral lists this ribosomal RNA (301 nucleotides) under uncultured bacterium. Its description in RNAcentral is "partial 16S ribosomal RNA". It matches the Rfam family "Bacterial small subunit ribosomal RNA", at positions 509 to 807 of the family's 1533-position model. The record is from RNAcentral.